Molecule: ribosomal RNA, 394 nt
Filed under: uncultured organism
Description: bacterial SSU rRNA
Rfam family: Bacterial small subunit ribosomal RNA
Source: RNAcentral
UGCUUAACACAUGCAAGUCGAACGAUACCUUGGGGCUUGCUCCAAGGAUAAGUGGCGCACGGGUGAGUAACACGUAGAUAAUGUUCCCGUUGGUUUGGAAUAACCUGCCGAAAGGCGGGCUAAUACCAAGUAAGCUCCCUUGAGGUUCGCCUUGGGGGAGGAAAGCAGGGCAACUUGCGCCGACGGAUCAGUCUGCGUCCCAUCAGCUAGUUGGUGAGGUAACGGCUCACCAAGGCUACGACGGGUAGCUGGUCUGAGAGGAUGAUCAGCCACACUGGGACUGAGACACGGCCCAGACUCCUACGGGAGGCAGCAGUGGGGAAUAUUGGACAAUGGGCGCAAGCCUGAUCCAGCAAUGCCGCGUGAGUGAUGAAGGCCUUCGGGUUGUUUUCUC